Bubalus bubalis (water buffalo) is the source of this 711-nucleotide long non-coding RNA. RefSeq lists it as uncharacterized. Lineage: Eukaryota; Metazoa; Chordata; Mammalia; Artiodactyla; Bovidae. The record is from RefSeq and is a predicted model, not a curated record. The transcript has 3 exons.
GAGUCUACUUUUAACUACUAAUACCUACCACCUUGCCAAUAACUGUCUAUGAAUCUUUUGUGAGUACUGAAUUUAUUCUGGAAGAAGUCUAUCUCCUACUCCUAUCACCACUGUCUAAAUAAAGAUGGAAAAGAUGGGGGUUUUAUACAGCCAAAAGAGAAGGUGCUUCUUCUUAAUUUGGGGAUGGUGGAACAUUCUGGUUUGAUAACAAAGCUCAACACGUCUAGGUGUUUUCACUAUUGGGAAGUGUGGUUUAGCUGGACCUGCCCCAGGGUGCCUGGUCAGCAGAGCAGAUCCACCAUCAGCGUCUGCCGAAGGGGAGAGUUUCUGCUCCUCAAGAGUAAUGUCAAGGAGGAUUUGAACAGCCCACUCUCCUGGACUCAGAGAGAAGUUUUUUCACACCUCUUCCAAAGACACUGGUGCCGGAAGCAUGCUUUGGGCCAUAUGUAAGAAGCAGCUAGUGCAAAGAUAGCCUUGCCCAAGUAUUCCCAGCGGCCUUUAAAGGGCAGAGUUGCAGCAUAUGGGAUCUUCAGUCUCCUUUGUGGCAUGCAGGUUAUUUAAUUCUGACAUAUGGGAUCUCGUUCCUUGACCCGGGAUCGAACCUGCUGCUGCUAAGUCACUUCAGUUGUGUCCAACUCUGUGCGACCCCAGUGAUGGCAGCCCACCAGGCUCCCCCAUCCCUGGGAUUCUCCAGGCAAGAACACUGGAGUA